UGGCGGACGGGUGAGUAAUGCCUAGGAAUCUGCCUGGUAGUGGGGGACAACGUUUCGAAAGGAACGCUAAUACCGCAUACGUCCUACGGGAGAAAGUGGGGAUCUUCGGACCUCACGCUAUCAGAUGAGCCUAGGUCGGAUUAGCUAGUUGGUGGGUAACGGCUCACCAAGGCGACGAUCCGUAACUGGUCUGAGAGGAUGAUCAGUCACACUGGAACUGAGACACGGUCAAG
RNAcentral lists this ribosomal RNA (233 nucleotides) under uncultured Pseudomonadales bacterium. RNAcentral's name for it is "partial 16S ribosomal RNA". It matches the Rfam family "Bacterial small subunit ribosomal RNA", at positions 96 to 334 of the family's 1533-position model. Lineage: Bacteria; Pseudomonadati; Pseudomonadota; Gammaproteobacteria; Pseudomonadales. The record is from RNAcentral.